This 532-nucleotide ribosomal RNA is filed under the name Pichia terricola. Its description in RNAcentral is "partial large subunit ribosomal RNA". It matches the Rfam family "Eukaryotic large subunit ribosomal RNA", at positions 92 to 657 of the family's 3401-position model. The record is from RNAcentral. Lineage: Eukaryota; Fungi; Ascomycota; Pichiomycetes; Pichiales; Pichiaceae.
AGUGAGCGGCAAGAGCUCAGAUUUGAAAUCGCCUCGGCGAGUUGUAAAUUGCAGGUUGGAGUCUUUGUGGCGGCGUGUGUCUAAGUCCCUUGGAACAGGGCGCCAUUGAGGGUGAGAGCCCCGUGCGGCACGCGUCUAAGCUUUAAGACCCUUCUGACGAGUCGAGUUGUUUGGGAAUGCAGCUCUAAGUGGGUGGUAAAUUCCAUCUAAGGCUAAAUACUGGCGAGAGACCGAUAGCGAACAAGUACUGUGAAGGAAAGAUGAAAAGCACUUUGAAAAGAGAGUGAAACAGCACGUGAAAUUGUUGAAAGGGAAGGGUAUUGGGCUCGACAUGGGGACUGCGCACCGUUGCUUCUUGUAGGCGGCGCUCUGUGCGGUUUCUGGGCCAGCAUCAGUUUUUGCCGCGGGAGAAUGGGGGGAGGAACGUGGCUCUUCGGAGUGUUAUAGCCUCUCUCAGAUGCCGCGAGCGGGGACUGAGGUCUGCGAUUCGUUCAAGGAUGCUGGCACAACGGCGCAAUACCGCCCGUCUUGA